Molecule: ribosomal RNA, 253 nt
Filed under: uncultured prokaryote
Description: partial 16S ribosomal RNA
Rfam family: Bacterial small subunit ribosomal RNA
Source: RNAcentral
ACAGAGGGUGCAAGCGUUGUUCGGAAUUACUGGGCGUAAAGCGCACGUAGGCGGUUUCUUAAGUCGGGGGUGAAAUCCUGGAGCUCAACUCCAGAACUGCCUUCGAUACUGGGAAACUUGAGUUCGGGAGAGGUGAGUGGAACUGCGAGUGUAGAGGUGAAAUUCGUAGAUAUUCGCAAGAACACCAGUGGCGAAGGCGGCUCACUGGCCCGAUACUGACGCUGAGGUGCGAAAGCGUGGGGAGCAAACAGGA